UUUGAAUGACUUUUUUUAGUAAAACAAUUUAUCCAAAAAUAAAUGGAUAUAAUAUUAUUAACAAAAAAAAUAAGAAUCACUAAUUACAUCCGUCAAAAAAAUUACUUUAUAAGAACGAUAAUACACAAAAGAAUUUAUUCAUUCACUCUUAUUAAUUUAUCCAUUAAACCCAAAUUUAAAAUUUAAAAAGACAUCAAAAAAACGAUAAUUUUAUUACAAUCAAUUUAAACAAAUUUAUGAAAAAACAAUGGUAAUAUUUAAUAUUUAAUCGUUGGACAAAUCGAUAAAUAUAAUCAAGAGGCCUCAGGUCAUUUAGUUGUAAAUACAUCAAAAUAGAUAAUCAGCCAAUGUAGGCAAAUGAAAGACAUCACUGACCUCACAUUAAUCAAAGUUGAAUUAACUAAAUAAUUCCUAGAAAAAAAUAAUUGAAUUUUGAUGAACAUAAAAUACGAGAUUUAUUUUAGGGAAAAAAAUUCACUCAGUGGUGGCUAGAUAAAUUAAGGUUCGAUUCUGCCUGCAAAUUUCCUCAACUUUAAAUCAGAAGAGGGAGCUUUGUAUCCUCAUCGUGAAAACUUUUUCCCGAAAAAAUCAAAACUAAUACAAAUCAAAAACAGAGAAAAUAAAAAAUAAAAGAGAUCACUCAGUUCAGCGGGGUUUUCGACACGCAAAGCAAUCUCAUAGAGAAAGCACUGCAUUCCGGUCUGUUGAGCUUGAAUUUCAUGGAGUCAUCACUGUGAUCUCUAUUAUUUCAAAAUAACAUUCAAAAUUCAACAAGAAAAUCGAAUCUAAUGCAAGAAAAACAUACAAAAAUCAGAUGCAUAAACUAUAGAAAUGAGGCAAAGCAAAAUAGUUUGGAAGAGCGAUUGGAGACUGAUGAGUGGAUGAGUUUUGAGAUCUGAGUAGAAUACAGAGAUUGGAGUUAGAUUUUAUAGGAAGAGUAUUAGGGUUUCUGAGAAGUGAUACUAGCAACUGAGUAAACGCGGUCGUUUUAAAAGGCAGUAGUUUCUUGUUGGUUCGUUGAAUCAGCUUAAUGAAAACAGAAAUGAUAUCUUUACACCAAUAUUGUACACCUACACCGUAUACAGUACAAUUUCAAUUUUUUAUUGUUUAUUUCUCUCUCCUAUUAUAAAUAAAUAUAUAUAUAUAUAUAUAUAUAUAUAUAUAUAAUAUUUAUUUAAAAUAUUAUAAAAAAAAUUAUUUUUAUUUUUUAAAUUAAAAAAAUAUCAAUAGAAAAACAUUUGAUUAACCAACUUUAUAGCUUUAUUAAUCCAUAUUUUAUAUUUUGUUAACCAACUUUAUUUUACUAAUAAAAGAUAUUUUUAAUAUCUUAAAGUUUAUUAACCAACUUCAUCACUUCAUUAACCAAUAUUUUACAUUUUAUUAACCAACUUUAUUUUACUAUUAAAAAUUUACUGUUCACGAAUAUUGUUUGUGGUCAUUGUUCACGAAUAAAGUAUUGAAGUUGGUUAAUAACUUACCUAUCUUUGGUUAAUAUUAUAAUGAAGUUGGUUAAUGACUCAAUUUUAUAUUUGUACUACAAAAUAAAUUUAUCUAUUUUUUUUUUAAAAAAAUAAUAUAUUUUUUUUAUUUUUAAAAAAUAAUAUUUUAUAAAUAAUAUAUUUUUAUUUUUAAAAAAAAAUACUGUUCACCGUAUAAAUACGGUGAACAGUAUAUGGUGUAAGUAUUGGUGUCAAAUUUUGGUGUAUAAAUAACAUUGCUGUAAUGAAAAAGCCCAUAGCAUAAAGAUUUGGUCAAAGCCCAAAUCAGCUUAAUACACACACCACACAUUUAAAGUUUAAACAAACAUUUCAUUUUGCUUUAAGAGAUUUAAAAGUAAACACCAUUAAUUAUUAAAUUCAAACGUAAUUAAUAAGUUUGUUUAAAAAAUGAAAAUCUAAUUAAAUCUAUAAUUAUUAUUAUUUACUCUUAAAAAUAAAUAAAAUAUGAGUUGAGAUAGGUAUAUAGAGGGAGACUGAAUUUUAAUUUUUUUAUGUAUAUAGACUAGUAGUUAAAUUUUAAAUAGAGUUUACAUUUAUCUUUUAUUUGUAUGAUUACAUACAUAUGGAUUGAAAUUUGUGGAACCAAAAUUGACCAUUGAAAAUCGUGUUUGCUAUCUUUUCUUCUGUUUUUAAUCCGACAAUCAACUAGCCCCGUCUAUUUUAGUAAAGAAUAUAUCAGUUUAAACGAGUUUUGGGCGAGUCAAUAGAGUUUACUCUCCCUUGAUUUUUUAGAAGAUAGUUCUUCAGAAGAGACAUAGUCAGACGAAUAUAAACACAGUCGAAUGAGAGUCAAUCAAAUAUUUCUCAAAAGUAUACUCAACUUGAAUUAUUGAUAGGCCGCAAGUAUACAACUAUACUGAUUUAGUAUAAAAGGUUUGUCGAAUCCAUAGAGACCAAUUACAAUUAUCGUCAUCUAUUGUUCCUACGUUUAUUUAAGACUACUCAAAUGAUUGGGUUUAUGUGAAAAUUAAAAGUAAUGGAUUUAAAUUAAUAUUAAUAACGAGAGACUUAAACAUUGAUUUCCGUCUUCCUAUGUUACCCAUACAAAUUACAAUAUUUAUUCAUAAUGGGAAAAUUAUUUUUGCACAAAAAAACUAAAUUAGAGAUACCUAUCAUACCCUAAAAUUUACCUUGAGUUUUUCAUCUGCAUCAACAUACCAUGAUCAUUUCAUUUGACCAUGCAUCACAUCAAUCAUAAAACAUCCAUUAAGGUUUAGGUGAAAAGUCAGGGUUUCUCGUGUUCCAUCUGAUCUUAUAGGCAUGCAAUCAUCUGUGGAUUGAGGAAUGAAGAGUAUUCUGUAGUCCAUAGCAUCUUCUAUUUCAUCACAUUUCUCAGGGUUCCAGAUGGCUGAUAAAUCUAGAAUAUUUGAUUCAUUUGUGUCUCUGAAAAGCACCAUUGUCUUUAUGAUUGAAGAUCAUUGGUAAAUAGUCAAAGAGUACUUUUGCAAUUGGUUCUUUGAUCAUAAAUCCCAAUGUCAUUUCAUAUUAAUCUUUAUGUUUCAUUGUAUUUAUGAUUAGGUAUUAUUAUGUAUUAGGUCCAAGAGUUGAUUCUUUUACAUUUAAUUCUCUAAUCAUUAAUCAUCUAGAUCAUUAUCAUCUUUCUUUAUGGAAUUAGAUAAAUAGUCCAAGAUUGACAAUUUGCAUUUCAUUAUUUACUCAUAAUUCAUCUGCACCAUUGUUAUUCAUAAGCAAAUUGUAGAAUAAAAAUUCAAGUUUGACUUUGUUGACCUAUGUUGUUAGUUCAUUUGUUUUACUUUCAUUUUGCAUUGUUAUAUUAACUUUUCAUUAGCAUUUUUUAACACAUAUCAAAGGUAAAAAAUAAAAAAUAAAAAAGUCAAAAGGUUGACCUUUGACUUUAACUUUUAUUGGUGAAAUAACUAUGUUUGUUUUGAUUCAAAUUAUUUUUAUUCGUUUUAUUCAAAUAUUCUGAUUAGUAUUUUGAAUGAGACAUAGAUAUAAAUAAUUUUGAAAUAAAGAAAAGAGACUUUUUUAUUGAUCAAUAUUCUUUUACAUCACAAAUACACACUAACACUUUAUCACUCUAUUCACUACACAUUCUUUUCUUUUUGCAUACAUAUUAUCUACAUACAUAUAAUAUGAUAUUUCAGAAAAUGACAACAAAAAUCGGUGUAGCUUUAAGCCAAAUUUCCUUUAAGCCUAAGCUUCACACUUAAAAGUUUCAGCUGCAAAUUAAGCUCCCAAUUAGUCUUCAUGAACAAGCCUAACCAACUUAAACCAAGUCAGCUCCAUCAUCAUUGGCGCUUCAUGAUUCGUACCUUUUCAUCCUCUCCAAGCAAGUUGCUCAAGGCAAACCCCAAGCUAUCACCAAGCCAGGCCAAACUGAUCCCAUGUGCACAUAUAAGAUACAAAGAGAAUAUUUUUGUUACUGAGUGAAUUAGGGGGACCACAAUAAAAAAUUCACACUUACAACACAAUUGAAUAAACAAAUUUACACCAACAAACUCAUCUCCCACAAAACCAAAUAUCACAAAUUCAUUUCAAUAAACUCACACACUUGGUGAAUUUCCCACACGUACAAACUACCAUAUAUAAUAAUGCUACUAUUUCACUCAUUCAAAAAAUGAUCACCAUAGUUAUAAUCUGCAUAAAUUCCCCUGAACUGCUUGGUUGCUUAUAGAGUGAUUCUAAUAAUGAAUCACUUUAUGCUAACUUAGAGCAACAUAUUUUAAUGCGGGGUAUUAAUUCUUCUACCUAGAUUUCCUCACCAUUAAACCCUUACUCAAAGCUCUCUAAACCACCUCAUCAUAGCUUCAUACUAAAACUCUGAAGGAGGCAAGCUAAGCCACUCAAUAUGACCACAAUUCAUCACCUUCAAUCUCAUUUUGAUUAAUCCUCACUUUUCAAGCAAUCUAUCUCUCAGCACUCAUCUCAUUUGACUUUAAAUUCUCUACACACACCAAUUAUUCAGCUUAUAUUUUCUAUCACAAUAAUAACAUGACAUACAACAGACAUGCAUUUAUAGAUCACAAAAAAGGAAAAGAGUAAAAGAUGAAGAAUGUAUUCUAAAGCAACGAAGGAAGAAGAUUCUUACCUGAAUCUCCAAGCUUCCUCUGGGUUUCUUUUUCGCUCUCUUCAUCAGUGAUAAUCAUUACCAUGAAUCUUUACAUUCCCGUUGGUAAGUGUUAUUUCUCUUCAUUCUUGAUACCAUGAUGAACGCUUUGACUUGUUAAUCCAUAGUCCUUCCCUAAUUAAUUGAAAUGGUGAACAUCUAAGAUUUAAUUUCAUUUCAGACAUUUUAGGGUUUCAUAUGUUUGUUUUGAUUUGAGGGUUUUGGGUUGGGUUUUGACAAUUUGAAGGUUAUGGUUAGAAAUUGGGUGAAAAGAGGAAGAAAAUAAGGGUAGAAUGAGGAGGUCUGGUGGUGCCCCACCGCAUGAAGCAAUUUCUGGUACAGCGGGGCGAUUUUUGGAUGCCGCGAAAGUUAGAGAACGAAGAGAAAGAGGGUUUAAGAGAGUAUUUGUGAGGAGAGAGCAAAAGGGAAGCGAAAUGAGGUCUUUAUGCUUUUUUAGACUUCUCUCUCUCACUCUCACUCUCUCACUCUCACUCUCUCCCCCUCUCUCUCUCUCUCUCUUUCUCUCUCUCUGAUGGGUUGCUCACAUUUGCCCUUCAUACCUCUUGUUAGAUGGAAACGUGUGUAGUGUUUGGACCAUGGUAUUGGUUGACUAGCUACAAUCAACCUUGAAUCUGAUAUGCAUAUCAUCAGUGUGUUAUAGUGUACAUACACAUCACGCCUUUAGACCAGUUUGACCAUGUUUUGAUCUCCACAUCCAAUGGCCCUCUUAGUAAAGUCUUUGACUCUAAUAUUGGGCCUCUUCAACUUUGAGUCAACUCCUUUUUUUAUUUUAUCACCCCCUUAUUAAUGUUGCAAGCGCCCUUUUGGGUAUUUUCUUUGAUUUAUUUUUUCUGACCCAUUUUUUUUUGUUGCUUAAUUUAACUAAUCGUGGAUUAGAUUAGUUAAUUUUUUUAAUAGAUCUGAUAGUUUGGUUAAUGGACCUAAUUAGCUAUAGUUUGUUUAAUCAAAUUUAAGUGUGUUUAUUUAUCUUAUGGACUUAGAUCUUUUUUAGUAUUUGUGUCGUUAUAUCUAAUUUUAUAUUUUUAUUCACAUUUGAUAAAGAUGUAAUAUUUUCUAGACUUAUAAUUUGUUUUAAUUAACUAAUCAUGAUAGUUAAAAUUUAAUUAAUUUAAUUAAAUAAUGAGAUUAAUUUUUUAUUAAUUAAUUAAAAAAAUUAAAUUUAAUAAACCUAAAUAUUUAAUUAAGAUAUAGUUUAAUUAAUUAAUUGCAUCCUCUUGUUUAAUUAUCAUAUUGAUCAUAACCAUGUAUCCCAUUUUGGCUUAAAAUCAUAUUUGUUUUAUUAUCCUAUUUUGAUUUGCUAUUACUUGUUUAAUUUGAAAUUAGAAUGAAUGAUAAUUUUAAUAUAUAAAUGAUUUUCUAAAAAUGUAAAAAACCUUGGUCCAACGCCAAGUAGAUUUUCAAAAUCCAAUUCCAAAUCAAACCAUUUUCAUAACUCAAUUCAUGUCCGCGAACGCAAAUAAAAACCUCAAUCAACAUCAAACGUUUUUGUCCAAUUCAAAUCAAAACACUUAAUCAUAGUUAAACACCAUUUAAAAUGAUGAAAAGGGAUAUGGUAUAGAGUCUUUUAUUCCUCUCCUCGAUUACUUGGAUACGAGUUGCCUUACUCGACAAUUCGAGCAAUCGUCAUCCAUUAAAAAACUUGUAAUAUGAUUCAUCUCAUACCAUUUUUCAUAAUCAUCUUAAACAAACCCAUUUUUCGUAAUAACUUUGACGAAAAAAGGAGGUGGUUUAGAGUCUUCUACUCAUUUCCUCAAAUACUUGGAUACGAGUUGCCUUACUCGACCAUUCGAGUAUUCAUCGUUCAUUCAAAAUACAUCAACCUUAUAUAAAUCCUUUUACAAUUAAGGAUGAAAAGUAAGAUGGUCUAGAGCUUUUUAUUCCUCUUCUCGGUUAUUCGAAUACGAGUUUCCUUAUUCGACCAUUUGAGUAAUCGUCAUCCAACAAAAUAUUCAACCGAUCGAUCCUAUUUUCUCGCCCAGUGCGAUCCAACUUUCUUUCUAAAACGAGGUUGCUUUAUCCAUUUUGUCGCAUUACGCGAAAAACCGGCGAGAAAACGAAACGACAGAGCCGCCACCGUGCGUUAUUUAUCCCAAAGGAGGGAAAGGAAACGCUCGAAGUAAACCUGGAAAAGACAUGGUCUCGCUACCAGAGAAAGAUGGGAUUGGGAGUCGGUUAUGCGAAGGGAAGGUAUUAGCACCCCUACGUAUCCGUCGUACUCGACGGGAUCCACGCUCAGAAAGAAAAGAAGAAAGGUUGCUAAAACUGCUCACAAACUGCACAAGGUUGGAAGGAAACACCGAAAGACAAAAGAAACGGGACUCGGUAGGAUAUCGCAUCCUGGGCCUACGUAGUCUGUCAGACACAGACAUCAGAGUCGAUGUAGUUCGGGAACAGGGGAAACGUGCUCGCUAGGAUGUCGUAUCCUAUGCAUACGUAUCUUCUCUAACCAGAGAAAGAAUCAGAGCACCCAUAGCUCGGCUAACGCACGCCGAAACAAAACCCACACAGGAAACCGACUGCCAAUCGCUGGACUUACGUCAGACUCCACACAAACGGGCAAACAUGGAAACCGAAGGCCAAUCGCUGGACUUACAUCAGACUCCGAACCAACAAACACACACAGGAAACCAACUGCCAAUCGCUGGACUUACGUCAGACUCCAAACACAACACAAAGGGGUUGAAAAAGAAAAAGGGCGCCCGGAGAGAUCAGCUCAUCUCCUGCCUACGUACCUCAUCUGGUAUGAGGAUCAGGGCGACGUAGUUCCCCUAAACAGGGAAAGAACUUCUAACCUAACCAGAUACAAAGGGAGACACAAACUACUAGGGAGACUACGACUCGAGCCUAGAAGUUGUCAUGCAUACGAUCCCUAUGUUAAGGUUUCUAUCUAACUUGCACAGGAAGCAAGCUAUCCUAACACAGCACAAUCAAUCAAAAGCACAAAAAGCAAGCACAUACACUAUAUGCAAACAGAUGGGCUCAUACAAGGUUAGGCUUUAGUCAAGGGGUCAUGUCAACCUCAACAAACAAGCCACUGGAAUGGGGUAUGAUUAGCUCUUAACCCUAACAUUGAGAGUUAGGGUGAAGCAGAUGAAAGGGAGAUGAGGGUAAGACCUCACAGCUCUUAUCCCUGGCCUGGGAGAGCUUGACUCAAAGUAGAAAGUGUGGGAGUUCAGAAUGUAGGAACUCUUCUCCACAAAUGACUGACACAACAUGAUCUUGGGUUAUUAUCCAUAAUGCAUCAACCCAAGGUAUGUGAGUAAAGUGAAUGACACAACUGAAUAGCAGGGGAUGGAUUGCACAUCCCUUUUAUCUUCCAAUUGCCUCUUAAGAGGUCUUUACCUGCUUGGCACAAAAUCAAACAAACACAAGCAUUGCCUCUUAAGGAGGGCUUCAGACAGGUGCCUGCCCACAUAACAGGACAGGUCUUCCAGACAACAUAAAGUCAGAGAGUUAUACCUAAGUGGUAAGCAAACCACAAGCCAAGCUAGGCAACUCAAGCAAUGAGUUAAAGCUACUAAAGUACCUGUGCAAACAACCAGACAAUCAGUACACAGUUCAAACAAACAGACAACAGUCAUCAGGCAAUAAUAAACAGACAAAGCAAUCAGGCAACAAUGAGCAAGGCACAAGCACAAGGGGAUUUGUUCUAAAAACCUACAAAACAACACAAUGUUAGCCAACAUCAACCAAUUAAUCAAACUCAAAUGAAUGAGCCACUCCAAUCAUGACAAUGUGCAUCUGAACCUGAAAUCCACAAUCCAAACAGUGAGUCCAAACCACUAGGUCAAAGCCUAGGGUCAAAAGAGGGUCAAACAUUCAAAACAGAACAUGAAAUUUAACAUGAAUCAUCCUCAUUCAAUCAAGAACAAAUCUCAAAAAGUCCCACAUCAAAAUCAUUAAGCAUAUUCAUUUCAUGAGCAAAACAUGGCAAGGCAUGCAAAUGGUGAUCACAUUGAGACAUCAGAAGAAACAAAUGCACAUUAAAUCAAAAAUGACUCAAAUAAUCUUGGCAAAAUUCAUGAGUGAACAGGACAUAUAACAUGAUCAUCCCACAAAAAAAUAGAGGCAUUGGACAUCAUUAGGCAUGGCAAUCACAUAGCAUAAUCAAGACAAUCACAUGUGUGACACAAAUUGUCACACCAAGUUAGCAUAAUCAUAAAACAGAGAUGGAUCAUGGGAAAAAUCUCAAACCAAAGCCAAAACAUCACUCAACAUGUCUAGAANNNNNNNNNNNNNNNNNNNNNNNNNNNNNNNNNNNNNNNNNNNNNNNNNNNNNNNNNNNNNNNNNNNNNNNNNNNNNNNNNNNNNNNNNNNNNNNNNNNNNNNNNNNNNNNNNNNNNNNNNNNNNNNNNNNNNNNNNNNNNNNNNNNNNNNNNNNNNNNNNNNNNNNNNNNNNNNNNNNNNNNNNNNNNNNNNNNNNNNNNNNNNNNNNNNNNNNNNNNNNNNNNNNNNNNNNNNNNNNNNNNNNNNNNNNNNNNNNNNNNNNNNNNNNNNNNNNNNNNNNNNNNNNNNNNNNNNNNNNNNNNNNNNNNNNNNNNNNNNNNNNNNNNNNNNNNNNNNNNNNNNNNNNNNNNNNNNNNNNNNNNNNNNNNNNNNNNNNNNNNNNNNNNNNNNNNNNNNNNNNNNNNNNNNNNNNNNNNNNNNNNNNNNNNNNNNNNNNNNNNNNNNNNNNNNNNNNNNNNNNNNNNNNNNNNNNNNNNNNNNNNNNNNNNNNNNNNNNNNNNNNNNNNNNNNNNNNNNNNNNNNNNNNNNNNNNNNNNNNNNNNNNNNNNNNNNNNNNNNNNNNNNNNNNNNNNNNNNNNNNNNNNNNNNNNNNNNNNNNNNNNNNNNNNNNNNNNNNNNNNNNNNNNNNNNNNNNNNNNNNNNNNNNNNNNNNNNNNNNNNNNNNNNNNNNNNNNNNNNNNNNNNNNNNNNNNNNNNNNNNNNNNNNNNNNNNNNNNNNNNNNNNNNNNNNNNNNNNNNNNNNNNNNNNNNNNNNNNNNNNNNNNNNNNNNNNNNNNNNNNNNNNNNNNNNNNNNNNNNNNNNNNNNNNNNNNNNNNNNNNNNNNNNNNNNNNNNNNNNNNNNNNNNNNNNNNNNNNNNNNNNNNNNNNNNNNNNNNNNNNNNNNNNNNNNNNNNNNNNNNNNNNNNNNNNNNNNNNNNNNNNNNNNNNNNNNNNNNNNNNNNNNNNNNNNNNNNNNNNNNNNNNNNNNNNNNNNNNNNNNNNNNNNNNNNNNNNNNNNNNNNNNNNNNNNNNNNNNNNNNNNNNNNNNNNNNUAUGAUGCUUGUGGAUGUGAUUGGUGAUGAAUUAGAAGCUCAAAUGCACACGAAUUCAGUUCAAUUUUCCAAUGCCAUGGAUGCUUCAAGCUUUGAAUCUAUCUCAAUAUGCCACGAGUUUCUCUGAAUCCACGUCCAAUUCUACUCAACAACACCUCAGGAACAUGAAUCAACCAAUAGAAAGUGCUUUUGUUUGAAGAAAUUUGGAAAAAGUUUGAGAGAAAUUUUUGAUGAUUUUCUUGAAUCCAGAUCUGAAAUGUUGCUAAUGAUAAAAAACAGUUAUGAUUAAGUAUAUAUACUUCCUACUAAUCAUGUUUAAAACCAACUUAAGCCUAAUGCCAAUGUGAUUAGUAAGUUGGAAGGUGUUUGUACAAAAAUGAGUUUUUCACUUCAUGCACCCCAUGCACGUGAACAAUGUCAAUUCAAGGCCCAAAUCCACUAAAAAUGAGUUCAUGCAAGGUUGUGAAUUGGUUUGGUAUGCAUAUGUUCCACAAAAUGAAUUUUAUGCAAUUUCCUUCAAAAAUCUUCAUGAGUGAACCAAAGACCAUGCAAAUGAAAUUCAUGUCAAGUAAUGGUAUGCUUGGAAAGUACAUGUUAUAAGGAUCAAAAUGCAAAAAGAACCACUCAUUUUGAAGUUUUGGUUUGAAAGUUAUGCUCAUUUGAACUUUGAAACACACUUUGCCAUGAUUGGACCAUAACUCCUCAACCACACAUGAGAAAUUCAUGACCUUAGACUUUUUGGAAACGGGAGAGAAAGAUCUUCAACUUUCAUGUUGGACAAAAUUUCAUUUGAAGCUUUCUUGAUGAUGUAAUCUUGAGUUGAAGUUGGUCUAAAACCUUUCCAUUUUUGGAAAGUUCAAAUUAUAGGUCACCUGCUAUUUUUGGAAAGUCUUGACCUGACUUCAAAUUCUUCAGUGUUGAUGUUUGAAAUGUCAAAUGAGACUUGUUUGAACAUGAAUGAGUCAUCUCUAACCACUUCCCACCUUCAAAUCCACAGUUGAUUUUGCAGUUGACUUCUGUUGACUUUUGUGGGCCUCAGAUGAUUUGCACAUGGACUGAUGAGCUCUGAGCUUUCAACACUUGGCCAAUAUUGCUUCAAAGUGAUCCUUGGGUCACAUGAACUCAUUGUACCAACCCUAGGGCUUUGAUCUCAUUGAAAUUGCCUUGUUGCCUAUAUGCCACAGUCGGAAUCUCUGACGUCCUGCCAUGCUGACAAUGUAGAUGGACUGUAUGACGUGCAAUGCUAAUGCAAAUAGUAAGAGUGAUGUAAUUGGACUCCAAUUGAGAAAUGACAAUGUAUAUACAAUGGGAAGGUCAAAUUUGCGUGCACAGCUUGCCCCUAUUCAAUCAACUGGGAACCUGAACGGAUGAGAGCAACGGUUGUCAGACCUUCAAGGUAAACAGGGAUUGAAUACCAAAGAACCGUAGAAAUUUGCACUCUGCGGGGAAUGAACAGGGUAUUGGCCACAGUAACCAUACAAGACGUUUACCGACGACUCUACUGGGGAGUUUGAUUUUUUUACCAAUGGAAAGAUACAGCCAGACGUCAACGGACAACUAGGAAAAACUCGACAUUUAUCGACACCAACAGAGAGGUGACCAGUCAUCAAUGGAUGAAUGGGAGGAAGAAAUAUAACCAUACGUCAACGGACGAACGGGAAAAACUCAACGUUUAUCGACACCAACGGAGAGGUGACCAGUCAUCAAUGGAUGAAUGGGAAAGGCUCGCCCAGACGUCAACGGACGAACGGGAGAAGCUCGACGUUUAUCGACACCAACGAAGAGGUGACUAGACAUCAACGGAUGACCUGGGGAAAGAGAUACAACCAUACGUCAACGGAUGAAUGGGAAAAACUCAACGUUUAUCGAAACCAACGGGGAGGUUACCAGACAUUAACGAAUGACUGGGAAGACUCGACCAGACGUCAACGGACGAAUGGGAGAAGCUCGACGUUUAUCGACACCAACGGAGAGGGUGACCAGACAUCAACGGAUGACUGGGACAAAUACAAUGUUUGCCGACAUCGAAAUAUGAUGCGUACAAAAGUGAAGCAAGACCAGACAUUUUGAGUAAGACUCGAUGUUUACCGACACCGAAACAAUGGUGUUUACCGACACUAAAGAAAGGACGACCAGACAUUUACCGAUGAUUGGGGUGAGACUCGAUGUUUACCAACACCGAAACAAUGGUGUUUACCGACACCAAGGAAAGGACGACCAGACAUUUACCGAUGACUGGGGAAAGAAAUGCAACCAGAUGUCAACGGACAACUAGGAAAAACUCAACGUUUAUCGAUACCAACGGAGAGGUGACCAGACAUCAACGGAUGACCUGGGAAGGAGAGAGAUGUUACGAACAUCGGAAGAUGAUGUUUACCGACAUCAAAAAGGGAAGACCAGACAUUUACCGAUGACUGGGGUGAGACUCGAUGUUUACCGACAUCGAAAGAUGAUGUUUACCGACAUCAAAAAAGGACGACCAGACAUUUAUCGAUGACUGGGGUGAGACUCGAUGUUUACCGACACCGAAACAAUGGUGUUUACCGACACCAAAAAGAGCACACAAGGGUGCAAACAUGACACUUACCGGUAUCACAGGGACGACAUCCUCAUAUGUCAAAGCAAAGCUAAACACUUGCUGGGGAACUCACUGGGGAGAAUCAAGCUUCCUUUCACGGACGGGUGAGAACUAAACGUCUCUGGGAAGUUAUCAAUCCUGAAUGCUGUCAGGAGCAACUGUAGCAAAUGUGCCGUACAGAUGUUGAACAAUGAUCCGCCUCUGCCGGGGAUAUGAUCUGAUUAAGUUUGACACAUGAAUGCAUAUGUUUGAAUUUUUCUAUGGCGUAAUGCUCCAUAUUGAAUGGAAAUGCUACGCGAUUUGAGGAUGCAAUGAUCACUACAUGCAAGAUGCAGAAAGAUGAAAACUUCCUGCUGAGGAGCAAACGAACUGCUCUGCUGAGCACACAAACAUGAAUAGAUUCUCCAAUUAUGUGGGGAGACUCUGUCUGAGGAAUGCUCUGUGGGGAAAAAGCACCAACUUAUCAAACGUGCUGGGGAAUAGCAUCGCUGCUGAAGAAAGAAUAGAUCCCACCGGGGAUAACCUUCACCAAAUCCAAUCCACUCGGGGACUCUGCUAGGGGAACAACUAAUGCUCGCCUCUGCUGAGGAUGUCUGCCAAUCCAUAGGCAGGAUAAAAUCUACUGGGGGUAACUUCCACCGAACCUGAUCCACUCGGGGAAUUUGCUGGGGAAAACCAUCAACACAACCCUCUGCUAGGGAGAUCUGCUAGGGAAAACAUUCACAACCCUAGUGGGGAAAGGUAUAACUCUGUUGGGGAAAUAAUAAACCAGACCAUGCUGGGGAUAGACAUCCACAACUCUGCCGGGGAAAAGCGUUCACGACCAUGCUAGGGAUAGCAGUACUUCAAAUCCGGCUGCUGAGGAAUACACUACUCACUGAUACCUCCGCUGGGGAUACAACAACCUUCCAACUCGGUGGGGAUUAACAAUCUUCCAACUAGCCGGGGAUAAACCCACUUCCAGGCCUGUUGGGGAAAGAAUAGCCUUUGAUCCUGCUACUGAGGGACACAUUAUCCACAGACGCCUCUGCAGGGGAAAAUAGUUCUGAUAGCUUUCAGACUUGCUUGGGGAAACAACCACUUUCAAGUCUGCUGGGGAAACAUCCUCAAUCCUGCUGAGGAAUUCCUGAUCUCACACUAUUGGACAGUGCUGACAACAUCCCUGAACGAACCGUGGCUUAUCUGCUUCAGCCAGGAACCAAAAGUAAUAGCCUGCAAAACAACAAGGCAAACAUGCCCCAAGGGGAUUGCAUAGACAAAAUACACCCAAGUGUCCUCAACAUUCAAAAUGAUUUUCAAAUGUUUUAUCUUUCUGCACGUUAUUGUCUAGCCUUCAUGUUUUUAUAUGCAAUGUUUAUCAAAAAUUCGGACGUUUUUGCAAACAAACAGUAAAAAAUAAAACAAGAUAGCAGAUUAUCUGAAUAACGCUUUUAUUGAUUGAAAAUGGGCCUGAAAAGGCGAAUACAUCGGAACAAUUCCUUAGAGAAGAGGUGAUUUGCGCAAUAAAAGGUACCAAAAUCUAUCCUAAGGCAGAGUGAAUACGGCAUCCUAGUCCCAAUGUCUGUAUGACUCACAGAUCACAAUUGUCUCCCCGAAUUCCUUGCUUUUGUGAGCAGAAUGACUGGACCGAUCACAUCUCGAGAUGGUAAGCAUGAAGCGCGAUAAGACAGAUAUCAACUGUAUGCGCCCUGUUGGGCCUGAUCGCCCCUUUUCUGGGCAAUCCACCAGCCGGGAUACCCUUUUUUUGCCUAAGCCGCCCUUGGGCGCGGUUUUCGACUUUACCGGUGUAGCAAAUUGCUUUCAUUUGUAUCCCUAACUUUGCGUCCGAACCUUUUUCUCUCUUUUUUUUGUCGCUGCGGGAUGCCCUUUUUGGCUGGACUCUUUUACGUGUGCUUUUGUCCAGCGGUCAAGUUAUGCGGAAGUAUUUUGUGACUACAUUCUUGAGUUAACAGGGGAAGCGGACAGUCGGUCACCACCUCAUAGUGUUAAGCCAUUCAGGCUCCACAGAGAAAACCUUCUUAACAACAUAUGGACCUUCGUAUUAGGCGUCCACUUGCCCCUGUUUACUGUACCGGGAGGAAGGAUCCUCUUCAAAACUAGAUCACCAGUCUGAUAGCUUCGAGGACGCACUUUCUGAUCAAAGGCUCUCUUCAUUCUUCUCUGAUACAACUGCCCAUGGCACACAGCUGCUAAACGCCUCUCUUCGAUAAGGCUCAACUCGUUAAACCUUGUUCGAAUCCACUCAGCUUCAUCAAGCUUAACAUCCAGCAAGACUCUCAGAGAAGGGAUCUCCACUUCAACUGGUAGGACUGCUUCCAUACCAUACACAAGGGAGUAAGGGGUUGCCCCGGUCGACGUACGUACUGAGGUACAGUACCCAUGCAAAGCGAAAGGCAGCAUCUCAUGCCAAUCCUUGUACGUCACAAACAUCUUCUGCACAAUCUUCUUAAUAUUCUUGUUUGCCGCCUCUACAGCCUCAUUCAUCUUCGGUCUGUAAGGAGAAGAAUUGUGAUGUUCAAUCUUGAAAUCUUUACAAAGCUCUUUCAUCAUCUUGUUAUUGAGAUUCGAACCAUUGUCAGUGAUGAUUCUCUCAGGAACCCCAUACAUCUUCGGUCUGUAAGGAGAAGAAUUGUGAUGUUCAAUCUUGAAAUCUUUACAAAGCUCUUUCAUCAUCUUGUUAUUGAGAUUCGAACCAUUGUCAGUGAUGAUUCUCUCAGGAACCCCAUAACGAAAGAUGACCUCCUUCUUAAUGAACCGGGCAACCACUUGUUUGGUAACGUUAACAUAGGAAGCUGCUUCCACCCCCUUGGUGAAGUAAUCAAUCGCAACCAGGAUGAAGCGAUGUCCAUUGGAAGCAGUAGGCUCAAUCUUUCCAAUCAUAUUAAUUCCCCACAUGGCGAACGGCCAAGGCGAAUUUAUGACAUUCAGAGGGCUUGGUGGUACAUGCACCUUAUCAGCAUAAAUCUGGCAUUUAUGGCACUUCCGAGCAUAUUUGAAACAAUCGGAUUCCAUAGUCAUCCAGUAAUAACCGGCUCUCGACAACUUCUUAGACAUUGCAUGACCACCAGCAUGGGUACCAAAAGAUCCUUCGUGCACUUCCUGCAUCAACAUGUCUGCUUCGUGUCUAUCCACGCAUCUGAGCAGAAGCAUGUCAAAGUUUCUCUUGUACAGCACAUCGUCCUGAUUCAAAUAAAAGCUUCCAGCUAGCCUUCUCAGGGUUUUCUUGUCGUUCUUUGACGCACCUUCAGGAUACUCCUGGCUUUUGAGGAAAUUCUUGAUAUCAUAGUACCACGACUUCUCAUCCACAACAGACUCGGCCGCAAACACAUACGCAGGCCUCUCGAGUCGAUUCACCGCAACAUGUGGCACAUGAUUCCACCAAUGAACUUUGAUCAUGGACGACAAAGUAGCCAAGGCAUCAGCCAUCUGAUUCUCAUCCCGAGGGACAUGAUACAACUUCACCUUCUUGAAGAACGUCAGUAUUCUUCUGGUCUAAUCUCUGUAAGGAAUCAAAUGUGGUUGAUUAGUAUUCCAAUCUCCAUUGACCUAGUUAAUCACUAGAGCGGAAUCUCCAUAAAUGUCAAGAGUUUUGAUCCUCAGAUCGAUGGCUUCUUCUAUCCCCAUGAUGCAGGCUUCAUACUCAGCCUCGUUGUUGGUCACGUCAAAAGUCAGUCUGGCAGAAAAAGGUAUAUGAACACCUUUAGGAUUGAUAAGCACUGCCCCAACACCGUUACCGUUCACAUUCACAACCCCAUCAAACAUCAGUGUCCACUUGUCAUCAGGAUCCGGUCCUUCCUCGACAAGAGGCUCUUCACAAUCUUUGAUCUUAAGAUGCAUGAUGUCUUCAUCAGGGAAUUCAAACAUCAUCGGCUGAUAAUCAUCAAUCGGUUGCUCGGCAAGGUAGUCUGACAGAAUACUACCUUUGAUGACCUUCUGCAACGUGUACUGGAUAUCAUACUCAGUUAGGAUCAUCUGCCAACGGGCAACACGUCCGGUGAGAGCCGACUUCUCAAAGAUGUAUUUCACUGGAUCCAUCUUAGAAAUCAACAAAGUGGUAUGAUUCAACAUAUACUGCCUCAGUCGGCGAGCAACCUAGGCCAAAGCACAAUAAGUUUUCUCAAGCUGUGAAUAUUUGAUUUCACAGUCGGUAAACUUUUUGCUAAGGUAGUAUAUGGCAUGCUCUUUUCGACCAGACUCGUCAUGCUGUCCCAAUACACACCCCAUUGAGUUCUCAGUCACUACAGGACUUAAUCAGAGGUUCUCCCCAGGAAACUGAGUAUAGGAUUGGAGGUUUUUUGUAAAUACUCUUUUAUUUGUAAAAGCUUCUGACCAGCAUCAUUCCACCUGAUUGCUUGAUUCUUUCUUAGCAAUUUGAAUAUCGAUUCACACGUGGCAGUUAGGUGAGAUACAAACCUUGCAAUGUAGUUCAAUCUCCCUAAAAACCCACGAACUUGCUUUUCAGUUUUCGGUUCAGGCAUCUCUUGAAUAGCUUUUACUUUUGCUGGAUCAACCUCAAUCCCUUUCUCACUGACAAUGAAACCCAACAGCUUCCCGGAUCUCACCCCAAACGUACACUUGUUUGGAUUCAGCCUCAAUUUGAAUUUUCUCAGUCUAUCAAACAACUUCUGCAGAUUUACCAGGUGCUCCUCUUCUGUCUGCGACUUCGCAAUCAUAUCAUCCACGUACACUUCGAUCUCUUUGUGCAUCAUGUCAUGAAAGAGAGUCGUCAUAGCCCUCUGAUAGGUAGCACCAGAAUUCUUUAGCCCAAAUGGCAUCACCUUAUAGCAGAACGUGCCCCAAGGUGUAAUGAAUGUCGUCUUUUCCAUGUCUUCUGGCGCCAUCUUAAUCUGAUUAUAACCAGAAAAACCGUCCAUGAAAGAGAAAACCGAAUGUCGUCUUUUCCAUGUCUUCUGGCGCCAUCUUAAUCUGAUUAUAACCAGAAAAACCGUCCAUGAAAGAGAAAACCGAGGAUUGAGCCGUAUUAUCAACCAAUACAUCAAUGUGAGGUAAUGGGAAGUCGUCUUUCGGACUCGCUCUGUUCAAAUCCCGGUAAUCGACACACAUCCUGACUUUGCCGUCCUUCUUCGGCACGGGAACGAUGUUGGCCACCCACGGGGGAUAAGUAGUCACUGACAGAAAACCUGCAUCCAACUGUUUCUGAACCUCUUCCUUGAUCUUGACAGCCAUAUCAGGGCUAGUUCUAUGAAGCUUCUGCUUGACUGAAGGCCAAUCUUCUCUGAGAGGUAAUCUAUGCACCACAAUAUCUGUAUCCAACCCAGGCAUAUCUUGAUACGACCAGGCGAAUAUCUCCACGUACUCUCUCAGCAUCUCAAUCAACCUGUUCUUGACAUCUUCCUUUAAAGCAGCCCCGAUCUUGAUCUCUUUUCUGGCGUCCUCAGUACCCAGGUUAAUGAUUUCCAACUCCUCCUGAUGAGGUUGGAUGACCCUCUCCUCCUGCUUCAACAAUCUGACCAAUUCUUUAGGGAGUUCACAGUCUUCCUCACUCUCCUCUUCAGCUAGGUAGAUGGGAUUAUUGAAAUCAUACUGAGCCAUAACAAAACUGUUCAUAGUGGAGUUCGUAAGAUCGAUUCUGCAUGUUUAAUGCUUUGUUUUAGAAAAAGAGUUCAAGAAAGUCACAAAAACAAAAACAUUGCCAUUUUUAUUGUUUUGAAAAAUGAAAAACAGAAAGAUAGGGAUCACAAAAUUGUUUGCAAAACGUCCUUUAUUAAUGAUAUCAUUGAAAAAACAUGAUGAGGCCCUACAAUGAACCACUACGCCUUGGGCAGAACGUAGGGUUUUGUGCAAAAUGAAAAAGAAAAGAAAAUUACUCUGUUUGAAGAGUAACUUGGACCACAUCUUCUGCUGUCCAAUUAUUGAUCGUCUCCCCUGGUGCACACGGGCGAACCCAGUUGUCCAGAUCACAAUCGCUGUCACAGUCUUCACCACCGGUUGCAAAGACGUCACCAUGAUUCAUCAGCCCAGCACUGGUAAAGGUACUCGGCCCUUUCUGCUCAAUCUGCUCCGCCUGCAGAGGUUGAUAACCAAUAACGAACUUGUCUUCAUUUGACGGGCAGGUCCACCAUCUUGCCCCAGCCUUCUGCAUUGCCCGAGCUGACAACCUCCAUAGCCUGCUUGUAUGAUGCAAUUGAGGCACUUGGCUUCUUCUGCUCAGCAAAAGCCACCCUCUCAAGAGCAACGGUCUCGAAUGCCUGGCAUAGAGUUUCAUGGAUCUCGCCAUCCACCUCUACAUACUUGAAAGAGGAUAGGUGACUCACCAGAAUGUCCUUUUCACCACACACAGUCACAAUCUGACCGUUCCAGACAUACUUCAGCUUUUGGUGGAGAGUUGACGAAACUGCCCCAGCCCCAUGGAUCCAGGGACGUCCCAAUAAAUAACUAUAUGCUGGCUGAAUAUCCAUCACAUAGAAGACAAUACUGAACACCUCCGGGCCAAUCUUCACCGGCAACGUGACUUCACCAAAAACAGACCGUUUGGAUCCAUCAAAUGCACGAACGAUAAGAUCACUCGGAGUAAGGACAACCCCUUCCACAUCUAUCUUGCUCAGAAUCUUCUUGGGCAACACAUUCAAAGACGAGCCAGUAUCCACCAACACAUGUGACAAUACUGCGCCUUUGCACUCCAUAGUGAUAUGCAGGGCCUUGUUAUGAUUGCGGCCUUCAGGCGUCAGAUCCAAAUCUGUGAACCCCAUACCGUGCCUGGUGCUCACAUUAGCAAUAACCCCUUCCAAUUGGUUGACAGAGAUCUCUGGAGGCACGUAAGCCAGAUUCAGCAUCUUCAGCAAGGCAUUACGGUGUGCCUCAGAGCACAAUAGCAAUGAGAGUAUGGAAAUCUUGGACGGAGUCUGAUUCAGCUGAUUUACAAUCUUAUAGUCACUCUUCUUUAUAAUCUUCAUGAACUCCUCCACGUCUUUCUCAAACGACCCCUUAGGCGCCUCCUUCUGAACAGGUUCUUCAUCAACCACGGCUUGCUUACCCUUAGCUUUGGCGAGUGCCUCAGCAUUGUUAUCUCUCAACGGCUGUGGUGCAAACAGACGACCACUCCUUGUGAAAUCUCCUGGUCCCCCAACAUUAUCCACAACUGGACCCACAGUCACAGGAGCUCUAGGUGGCAUUCCAAUCGUUACAGGAGCUUGAUUAACUGGCCCGACCUGACUUUCUGCCCUUCGGUUGCUGCGAUAAGCAUUAUCAUACUUCCACGGCACAGCCUUACUAUUCUCAACAGCCCUUCUGCCCGAAGCAACGAUAGUAGUGGGAGCACUGACAGUUACUGGAGCAGAAAUGGUAACUAAAGUACCAACAGUUGUGGGUGCACUGACAGUUCUCUGGCCACGUCCCUCAGACGGUUUGAAAUAAAUGGUGACAGUUGACACCACCCCACGAUCCUUCACGGACCGACUAAACUGCAGAUAGCCCUCAUCCAUCAAACCCUGGAUACUAGUCUUCAACUUGUCACAACCAUUUGCUGAAUCUUCACAGUCUGAAUAACCCUGAUCACAGCCCGGGAACACUCCCCCAUUCAGCAGACGAUCCUUCACAACAAACAACGGGGUCUGAAUCUCAUCAAUACUGACCACCAAGUCUUCAGCUUCCCCACCUUCCACAUUGUUCACCCUAUGCGCACCAUGCUGAGGCAUAGGAUUGUUCACAACAUUCGGCACAGGAGCAAAAUUGAUUGUUUUGGCGUCAAUUAAGUCCUGGACCUUAUGAUGGAAAGCCCGACAAUUUUCAAUAUGGUGCCCCGGUGCACCAGAGUGGAAAUCACAACGAACGUUGGCAUCAUACCCAGGUGGUAUCUUUGUCAACGGAGCCAUCGUACGCAACUCAACAAACCCAAAUCUGAGCAAUUCGGGCAGCAAUUCAGCGUAUGUCAUCGGCAACGGGUCGAAACGUCGAUCCGACAUUCUCUGUCUAAGCUGAUACGGACGUUGCUGUUGUUGUUGUGGCGGUUGUUGAACUCUCUGUUGUUGCUGAGGUUGACGUGGUUGAGGUGCCGAAAUGGUUACAGCAGCAACCUGGCGAUAUUGCUCUCUGUUCACACUUCUUCUGUGUUGCACAACAUUGGUCUCACCCUCCCUCCUACGGGGCCCCCCAGAAAACGGCUUCUUUGAAGAUGAGGAACCAGCAUCCUGAAUCUUCCCAGCUUUGAUAAGGCUCUCUGUUCUCUCCCCACAAGUUACAGCAUCAGAGAAGCUACCGAAUGGGCAACUCCCCAUCCGGUCCAUGAAUACACCUUGUAAUGUCUCGAUAAACAUAUCAGUCAACUCCCUUUCCAGCAUAGGGGGUUGCACCCUCGCGGCUAACUCACGCCAUCUCUGGGCGUACUCCUUGAAACUCUCUCCAGAUUUCUGACAUAGGCUCUGCAACUGAGUCCGACUCGGCGCCAUGUCCAUAUUAUGUUUGUAUUGCCUCAAGAAGGCUUCACCCAGAUCUCUCCAACUUCUGAUGGAUUCUCUUUUCAGCUCCAUGUACCAAUCCAAGGAAGCUCCAGACAAGCUAUCCUGGAAGAAGUACAUCCACAUUUUCUCAUCGUCUGUAUAGGCAGAGAUCUUUCUGUAAUAUGCUUGCACAUGGGUGCAAGGACAAGAAGUACCGUUGUAUUUGUCAAAAGAAGGCGCCUUGAACUUGUAAGGAAUCCCCAAUCCUUCCACUAGACCCAUAUUAGUGACAUCAAACCCCAAAGAGUUCUGACACUCCAUGGCUCUGAUCUUCUCAGCUAGGGCAUCAACCUUUCGAUCCCUCUCUUCGACUCUUACAACCUUAUCAUCUUCACUGAGCAGGGUAAACAUGUCUUCCUGCCUGUCAACCAACGGAGCAGGAUGGCGAACGGGAGCACGGGUUGCUCUGACAUUAACAGUCUCUGCAGCAAGAGGCUGUCCAUUAAUCCUGAUACCUCUCAACUCAUCUCCCACAGCAUAAUCAUUGACGGGAGCAGCAGCAAUAACACCAUCAUUCACAAGAACACCCACUGGCGAAGCACGACUAGGAGGUGGUAGUACAGCUUCUUGUCUCUGGGCUAAGGCACGCAGCUCCUCUUGCCCUUGAACGACCCCUUGCAUCAUUGUCAUGAACUGGGCCAUGUUAGCCCUCAUCUCAGCCAACUCAGCUUGCACUUGGUCCAUAUUUCUCUGUUGAUUCAACCUCGUUGAGUAGCGGUGCGGACGUUAAUCAGCUAUCCUGCCUGACACAGGAACCAGAGUGAGAAGUCUCGAUCAAGAACACCUGUAAUGCAAAAUGAUAUGUGUAUGAUGUUUAUGAUGCGUAUGAUGCACAUGAUAUGUUCAUUUCUCAGGCAUUCAAGAGCCCAAUUCAUCUUUCAAGAAAUGGCAACCUGCAACAAGAACAACACAGAAGCAACAUACACAAUAUAAUGAGCACAAGGUGAAACAUCAACACCCUCAUCUAUAGACAUGAGCAACAAGGACCAUAUAACAAUAUUCAGAUAAAAAUCCAAAUGAUCAGAGUACCACAAUGAAUCCCAUCCAACAAGCCUGGAGGUGAUUCUCAACAUAAACAACAGAGAUACAAGCUAAGACAAAUGGCUUCCAGGAAUGAGAGUCUUCAGAUACUGGCACUGGUCUAUCAACAGGUCACAUUCUGAACAUUCUAAACAUUCUGGCAGAGGGGUGAUCCCCAGUUGAGUCACCAGCUGUCGCAUUACGCGAAAAACCGACGGGAAAACGAAACGACAGAGCCGCCACCGUGCGUUAUUUAUCCCAAAGGAGGGAAAGGAAACGCUCGAAGUAAACCUGGAAAAGACAUGGUCUCGCGACCAGAGAAAGAUGGGAUCGGGAGUCGGUUAUGCGAAGGGAAGGUAUUAGCACCCCUACGCAUCCGUCGUACUCGACGGGAUCCACGCUCAGAAAGAAAAGAAGAAAGGUUGCUAAAACUGCUCACAAACUGCACAAGGCUGGAAGGAAACACCGAAAGACAAAAGAAACGGGACUCGGCAGGAUAUCGCAUCCUGGGCCUACAUAGUCUGUCAGACACAGACAUCAGAGUCGACUUAGUUUGGGAACAGGGGAAACGUGCUCGCUAGGAUGUCGCAUCCUAUGCAUACGUAUCUUCUCUAACCAGAGAAAGAAUCAGAGCACCCGUAGCUCGGCUAACGCACGCCGAAACAAAACCCACACAGGAAACCGACUGCCAAUCGCUGGACUUACGUCAGACUCCACACAAACGGGCAAACAUGGAAACCGAAGGCCAAUCGCUGGACUUACAUCAGACUCCGAACCAACAAACACACACAGGAAACCAACUGCCAAUCGCUGGACUUACGUCAGACUCCAAACACAACACAAAGGGGUUGAAAAAUAAAAAGGGCGCCCGGAGAGAUCAGCUCAUCUCCUGCCUACGUACCUCAUCUGGUAUGAGGAUCAGGGAGACGUAGUUCCCCUAAACAGGGAAAGAACUUCUAACCUAACCAGAUACAAAGAGAGACACAAACUACUAGGGAGACUACGACUCGAGCCUAGAAGUUGUCAUGCAUACGGUCCCUAUGUUAAGGUUUCUAUCUAACUUGCACAGGAAGCAAGCUAUCCUAACACAGCACAAUCAAUCAAAAGCACAAAAAGCAAGCACACACACUAUAUGCAAACAGAUGGGCUCAUACAAGGCUAGGCUUUAGUCAAGGGGUCAUGUCAACCUCAACAAACAAACCACUGGAAUUGGGUAUGAUUAGCUCUUAACCCUAACAUUGAGAGUUAGGGUGAAGCAGAUGAAAGGGAGAUGAGGGUAAGACCUCACAGCUCUUAUCCCUAGCCUGGGAGAGCUUGACUCAAAGUAGAAAGUGUGGGAGUUUAGAAUGUAGGAACUCUUCUCCACAAAUGACUGACACAACAUGAUCUUGGGUUAUUAUCAACAAUGCAUCAACCCAAGGUGUGUGAGCAAAGUGAAUGACACAACUGAAUAGCAGGGGAUGGAUUGCACAUCCCUUUUAUCUGCCAAUUGCCUCUUAAGAGGUCUUUACCUGCUUGGCACAAAAUCAAACAAACACAAGCAUUGCCUCUUAAGGAGGGCUUCAGACAGGUGCCUGCCCACAUAACAGGACAGGUCUUCCAGACUACAUAAAGUCAGAGAGUUAUACCUAAGUGGUAAGCAAACCACAAGCCAAGCUAGGCAACUCAAGCAAUAAGUUAAAGCUACUAAAGUACAUGUGCAAACAACCAGACAAUCAGUACACAGUUCAAACAAACAGACAACAGUCAUCAGGCAAUAAUAAACAGACAAAGCAAUCAGGCAACAAUGAGCAAGGCACAAGCACAAGGGGAUUUGUUCGAAAAACCUACAAAACAACACAAUGUUAGCCAACAUCAACCAAUUAAUCAAACUCAAAUGAAUGAGCCACUCCAAUCAUGGCAAUGUGCAUCUGAACCUGAAAUCCACAAUCCAAACAGUGAGUCCAAACCACUAGGUCAAAGCCUAGGGUCAAAAGAGGGUCAAACAUUCAAAACAGAACAUGAAAUUUAACAUGAAUCAUCCUUAUUCAAUCAAGAACAAAUCUCAAAAAGUCACACAUCAAAAUCAUUAAGCAUAUUCAUUUCAUGAGCAAAACAUGGCAAGGCAUGCAAAUGGUGAUCACAUUGAGACAUCAGAAGAAACAAAUGCACAUUAAAUCAAAAAUGACUCAAAUAAUCUUGGCAAAAUUCAUGAGUGAACAGGACAUACAACAUGAUCAUCACACAAAAAAUUAGAGGCAUUGGACAUCAUUAGGCAUGGCAAUCACAUAGCAUAAUCAAGACAAUCACAUGUGUGACACAAACUGUCACACCAAGUUAGCAUGAGUAUAAAACAGAAUGGGAGCAUGGGAAAAAUCUCAAACCAAAGCCAAAGUGUCACUCAACAUGUCUAGAAUCCACACACAAAAUUUCAGAAGCAUUGGAUAAGAAACAAGCAUUUUAUGAUCAAAUGAAUAAGGCAAUAUCAUGAAUGGAUACAUGUUCAAACACCCUAGGACAAAUCAAGUUUUUAACCAAGCACAACUUGCAAUUCAAUAAUCAUAAAAAACUAGACAAGAUAAGGAACACAAUGGAAAAAAUUUGAGAUCAAUUGGAGCAUUUUUCAUUUUUAUAUGAUUUUUUGAAGUGGAUGAAAGAUUUGAAAAUGAAAAUGGAGCCAAAGUAUGAAAUGUGGAGGGAAAAGGAAUAGUGCAUGGCAAUUUGAUAAAGUCCUCUCGCCCGGAUUCGAACUUGGCACAAAUUCAAACCUGGCGCGCGCCUAAAACGACUGUGUUUUGCUUCUAAAACCCUAAGCGCGUCAGGAAACCGUUGUUGUAUCAUGGAAAACCGUGGCCUAAACAAUAUUCGUAGCUAAUUCCAAAAGCUCGUAGCUAAAUCCUAGUAAGUUCGUAGCAAAACCUGGGAAUUGCAUGGUGUUCAUAUGGAACGAUGAAGAUCAUGAAGAUCUUCAUCUGGAUUUUCCAGAAAUCACAAAAAAUGUCCAGAAAUGAAAAAUAAGCAUAGCAAUCGAUUCAUCUUUCCACAUACAUCAAGGAUCCAUGAUUAAUUUGCUUUAAAACACCAUAACAAAGCCAAAUCGAAGGAAAUCAAAAUCAACAUCAAAACUUCAAUUGAACAUAACUCCAUGGAUAUAGCAUCAUUUCACUCGAUUUUUUCACCAGUAUCAUCACCAUUCAAGGAUCUACAAGAACAUCAUAACAAUUUGCAAAAUAAAAGAGGUCGAAUUCUAACCUGUUGAAGAACAGCAACUGGAAUUGGCUCGUUUCAAGGUUUGUGAAGGUCCAGGAAUCUUUUAUGAUGCUUGUGGAUGUGAUUGGUGAUGAAUUAGAAGCUCAAAUGCACACGAAUUCAGUUCAAUUUUCCAAUGCCAUGGAUGCUUCAAGCUUUGAAUCUAUCUCAAUAUGCCACGAGUUUCUCUGAAUCCACGUCCAAUUCUACUCAACAACACCUCAGGAACAUGAAUCAACCAAUAGAAAGUGCUUUUGUUUGAAGAAAUUUGGAAAAAGUUUGAGAGAAAUUUUUGAUGAUUUUCUUGAAUCCAGAUUUGAAAUGUUGCUAAUGAUCAAAAACAGUUAUGAUUAAGUAUAUAUACUUCCUACUAAUCAUGUUUAAAACCAACUUAAGCCUAAUGCCAAUGUGAUUAGUAAGUUGGAAGGUGUUUGUGCAAAAAUGAGUUUUUCACUUCAUGCACCCCAUGCACGUGAACAGUGUCAAUUCAAGGCCCAAAUCCACUAAAAAUGAGUUCAUGCAAGGUUGUGAAUUGGUUUGGUAUGCAUAUGUUCCACAAAAUGAAUUUUAUGCAAUUUCCUUCAAAAAUCUUCAUGAGUGAACCAAAGACCAUGCAAAUGAAAUUCAUGUCAAGUAAUGGUAUGCUUGGAAAGUACAUGUUAUAAGGAUAAAAAUGCAAAAAGAACCACUCAUUUUGGAGUUUUGGUUUGAAAGUUAUGCUCAUUUGAACUUUGAAACACACUUUGCCAUGAUUGGAUCAUAACUCCUCAACCACACAUGAGAAAUUCAUGAUCUUGGACUUUUUGGAAACGGGGGAGAAAGAUCUUCAACUUUCAUGUUGGAAAAAAUUUCAUUUGAAGCUUUCUUGAUGAUGUAAUCUUGAGUUGAAGUUGGUCUAAAACCUUUCCAUUUUUGGAAAGUUCAAAUUACAGGUCACCUGCUAUUUUUGGAAAGUCUUGACCUGACUUCAAAUUCUUCAGUGUUGAUGUUUGAAAUGUCAAAUGAGACUUGUUUAAACAUGAAUGAGUCAUCUCUAACCACUUCCCACCUUCAAAUCCACAGUUGACUUUGCAGUUGACUUCUGUUGACUUUUGUUGGCCUCAGAUGAUUUGCACAUGGACUGAUGAGCUCUGAGCUUUCAACACUUGGCCAAUAUUGCUUCAAAGUGAUCCUUGGGUCACAUGAACUCAUUGUACCAACCCUAGGGCUUUGAUCUCAUUGAAAAUGCUCUUGUUGCCUUGCACAGUGGAAUCUCCUGACCAGUCUUGCCUGAUACAAUGUAAUGGACUAUGCAAUGCUAAUGCAAUGUUAAGGUGAUGUUAAUGACCUAAAAAUGAAAUGUAUAUACAAAUGGGAGGUGCAAAUUUGAGGUGCUACACAUUUUGACGUGAAAUAAACAAAGGUUUUAAAUUCCAAGAGCAAGCAACAAGCAAAGAUUUAAUCACUUAAAAUGUCUAAAUCAAAACUCUUUGAAAGCAAUCAACCAACACGUAGUUUUCUAUGCAGCACUAUGUAGCUUUGAAUUCCUCAUUGGAUCUGAGGGUACGUAGGAACGAGACCCACAAUCUCGUCAAGCACCAUAAUAAACACAUUUUUGUAACCAUUUUAUUUUCCUUUUGCAUAUUUUAUCUUUAAAAAAAACAAUUAACACAACUAACAUUCAACCACAAGUUUAGCUAAAAGGUUCCCGUUGAGUAUAAGAGAUGUGAUGAGUGCUAAUACAUUCCCCUUGUGUAAUCGACUCCUGAAUCCAAAUUUGGCUGCGACAACCAUUUCAUUCUUCUUUUAAAGGGUUUUUCCGUGAAACAUUUUUCUGUGAGCGUGCGAACUCUUCGUUAAGGAACGUAUUUUUCGAGAUGCGAGUGUUGGUGACUCUGCUGGGGAAUAUGCUUUGAGGAAAAGAAAUCCAAGCCUAAUUUGAUUAAAUUUGUGAUUAAUUUGUUAACUUUUCUAAUGGUUUACUUAUACUUGCAUUAUUUUAUUAUGUGUUAUAACUGUGGUGCAUUGGUACUAUUAAGGAUCUUUGAUUAUUGGUACUUUGUGAGAUAGGAUUUCUACCCGAGUCUAAGGAAAACCAUAAGAUUAAGAUGGUGAUUAUGCAGUAUUGGUAUGCGAGGUUCAUUCCUACUUUGGGACGAUACGAAGACCCCACAUAGGGUAGACUCUCUUUGAGAUGUUAUUGCUUAACGAGCCUUCGUCAUGUCGAUAAUGUUUUCAAGUUGGAUCUAUAACUAUAUGGAUCUCUUUAGAACCUCGAAGUUGAUGGUUGUAUAGUGUUGGCAUGUGAGGUAUCUUUCUCGCUAGGACUAUAUGAAAACCUCACCUAAAAGAGAUCGUCUUAAGGGUAUUAUUAUACAACGAGCCUUCGUCAUGGCGGUAAUCUUCCCAAGAAAGAUCCAUGACUUUAGGAAUCUACCAACCGUAAAGCCUAUCUAUGGGGUUUCUAUAAUUAGUGAUACCAAUUAUUUACCGAUUAUUCUGACCAACAUGGGAACUAAAUUAUACAUGUGAUCCUGAAACCACGCAUACGCGUUGCACAAUCAUAAACAUAACAUUUUAGUUUUAUUUCCAUGGAAUAUGAGAAUCACAGUUGUAGUCAUUCAGAAAGUAUGGGAUACGGAAAAAUGAAGCAUGUACUCAUACAAAUUCAAAGAUCCUCAGUUGGCCAAUCUGCAUUAGUUGGUUUCCCGGCUCCAUCCGAUAUACAAAAUCAACUUUGGGAAAAACUAUGGAAAUUUGCUUGGUCUCUUAUGUCAAAAGAUGGACCCCUUAUCCCUUUUGACUUUGGCUUAGUUUUAUGAUCCUCCUAUGAGAUUUUUCACAUUCCAAGAUUUUCAUAUAGCAUCCAUGUUGGAAGAGUUUGAACAUAUUGUUGGCAUUCAUAUGAAGAAAAAUUCGUCGUUUUUAGGUGUAGAAGAGUCUCUACAGAAUGAGGUCAUAAUUUAUGCUCUUCACAUGCAUAAGAGGGAUAUUACUUCUAAUUUGGAAGUCAAAGGAAAUACUAAUGGAUUAUCUCUCAAAUUCAUAAUAUAGAAAGAAUCCACCUUUAUGAAUGCUCAGAGUUGGGAGGCUUACUAUGUCGUGAUUGCAUUGGCUAUCUAUGAAAUCAUUCCAUUCCCAAACUUGGACAAUUUUGUAGACAUGACUUCCAUUAGCAUCUUCCUCAUGGAGAAUCCAAUUCCUAACAUGUUAGCUAAUGUGUAUUAUUACCUCAGUUGGAGGCAUGAGAAGAAGGGAGGAAUGGUUUAUUGAUGUGUUUCAUUGAUGUAUCAGUCGUUGCUAACUCACCUUCUAAAGAAUGGGACCUUUUAUGGAGAAAAGCACGUGAGUUUACCUAAAAGGACGGGAUCACUCAGAGCAAGUGAUAUCACUUGGUACUCCAAAGAGUAUGUUGGCAUAAAUAUUGUAUUCAGUUAUGGGGAGUUCCCCAACAUACCACUUAUUGGGACUCGAGGGCACAUUAAUGCUAAUCUAGUCAUAUCCUUAAGACAACUUGGAUACCCAAUUGAGGGUCCUCCUGAUGAGAGAUUAUUGGAAGCCUUCUUGUUACGUGACCUUUGGGUUGGGGGUCCUGUGUUAUCCAAAAGAGUUAAAAAGGGAUGGGAGACAAUCGUCAAGAAACGAAGGGUUAAUUUGGGAAGGAAGAAUUGUAUCACCAAAGAACCUUAUCUUCAAUGGAUAAGGGAAAUGGUGAAAUUGAUCAAAAUGCCCUUCAGUGUUAAAAUACAUGUUCCUCCCCUAGAGCCUAAUCUUACUCAUAUCCCUAUUGAGGAGACAGAAGAACUUAUAGCUACCAUAGUCAGGCUCACCAAGGAGAGUGAAGAGCUACACCAAAAACUUUGCAACAUCUCCAUAGAAAAGGAUGAGCUCAAGUUUAGUCUUGGAAAAAGAGGAAAAUAACUUGGUGAGAGUCAGGGGACUCCCUAAAAAGAAAGAGGAAAUAGGCAUAAGGUUAAGGAUGACUUAGACUCAUUGGCCAUCGAGCUUAGUCAAAGAAACGAAGAACUCUGAAGAGUUAUCAAAGCUAACAAGGAAUGGAAUGUUUGGUGGGAUAAAGCCUCUGAGCAAAGGAGGAGGAUGAAGGAAGCCUUCAAGGCUAAAAUUAAACACCUAUCCCAACAACUAUAAGAAGCCCAAGCUCGCAUACUGCAAGAAACUCAACAUUGACAAGAAAUUAAGAUGGCCUACCAAAGUUCUCAUGGACUUGAUGAAUAACUGCAUGAACUUAGGCUCACUGCCCAAUGCAUAAGAAAGUCCAGGGAGGAACUAAAGAAGCAUUGGGAAUCCAAAUUUGAUGAAAAGGUGGAAGAACUGAAACAAGAGGAAACAUUCUCCCUCCAUGCACGAGUCACACCAGGCAAAUGGUUCAUGAAAUGCGAGGAAGUUGUCAAGCUUGCCAAUCACUUGAUACACAUUUUCCCUCUAAGGAUAAUUGAUGCUUUUGAGGAAAUGACUUAUGAGAACACACCGCCUACAGUCUUCAACUUUAUUCUCCUUUGCAAAUACAUGGUUAAGUACCUCAAGAAAAAGUUGGCUCACUUGAAGAAAGUUCGAGGAACGGCCAAGUGAAAGGAUAAAUUUACAUAUUUAUUACCUUAUUUUGUAAUCAUCAAAUGUACUUGAUUAUGAAUGAAUGAAUGUUUGAGUUUACUUAGAAGUUGUUUAUCUUUAUAUCUCGCUCUUACACUUUUGAAUGCCUAAACGACUAAUCCAAAGAUUCCCUACAACUAAAAAAACAAAAGAGAGCACAUGCAUCACAUUUCAUCAGCAUGCAUAUCAUUUUCCCAAAAACACAAAAACUAAUCCUCUCUCCUCGUCUUUAGAAAAAAGUUGUUUAUCCGACAUUAGUAUGCCACACCCGCCAAUACUAGAAGAGUAAUGGAUCCAGUUCAAUAAGAGCAAGCUGUUAUGCGAGAGGAGAUUAACUUCAUCAAAGACAAAGUUGAUCAAAUUCUAGAAACCAUGAUGGCUCUGGCCAUAAUGGAAUAAGAGCUUUGUAAUGUCGUCACUACAAGGAAUGAGGUUCAUGUUCAAGGAUCUACUUCAAGACCCGCAGUUCCCAUUCCUGUGAUUUUUAUUCUUUUGGUUUAUUUUAUUAUUUAUUUUAUUACUUUUUUUAAAAUUAAUUUAACUAUUUAAAUUUGUAGUAAUUAAAUAAUUAAAUGUUUAUUUGAUUAAUUGAUUAGGUUUUAAUUAAUUAUUUUUUUAUCUUGUUAAGUAAAUUAUAAGAUUAUUUGUUUUGUUUUGUCAUAAUUAGGUAUUUGUUUUCAAUGUUUCAUAUUAUUCAUGUAAAUAAUCAUACUAACAUUUCACACAAUUUCAAUUUCAAACCAUUUUCACACUAACUUCACUAAUAUUUAAUUCAAUUUCACUAAUAUUUCACCAUCGAUUAAAUACCUUCAAAUUAUUUUCAAAACCAUUUUCAAAACCAUUUUCAACUAGGUUCAAACUAUUUUCAAAACCAUUUUCAAUUUCAAUUUCGAACCUUUUCUUUUACUAAGACAAGCAAACCUCGAUCGACAUCAAGUAACUUUUCCUAAAUAACACUUAUUAUCAAAUCAUUUCUCUUAAACAAAUACGAAAGAACAGGACUGUUAGAAUCUAACAUUCUAGCAAAACCCUCGAAUGAUUGGUCUUGAGGCACAAGUUUUGGGAUAACCACUUAUUCUUUUUUUCACACCUAAAACACUUAAUAAACGUGGACUAAAAAGGACAUUUGGAAUAUAACAUUCUGAUGGAACCCUUGAACAAUUGAUUCUAAGGCAUGUGUCUUGUUCUUAUCAAACGUUCGUUGUCCAUUGAACAAUUUUCUUAAAUACCUAAAAUAAAAAAGGACCGUUGAAAUCUAACAGCAUGGUAGAACCCCAAAUAAUUGAUCCCGAGGCUUAUGUCUCGUUCUCAUCAAGCGUCGUAAUUCACCUAAAAUACACUUAACCAAUCAAACUCGUUUUCUCGCCUCCGUGCGAUAUUCAAAAAAACAUUUUCACAAACGAAGAUAUUUUGUCUCAGGACAGUGAUAGACAAUGCCUCAUCCAUAAAUCGUGCGAGUUGAGAUAAAUGAUAUUUUUCUGUGUGAAUGAUGAUUUGUAAAUCCAUUCAAUAUGUGAUGCAAACGUCUGCUCCUCACCUGUUUUGGGUAAGUAAUGUUUUCCAUCAAUUGACACGAAAUAAUUUUCGCAAAAAUCUACCAACAAACAAACAUUUUCUACCUAUAACUACGUAAGCCUUGAGUUCUCCAUCGCACCCAGAGACACGUAUGAGCGAGAUUCAAAGUCUCGUCAGACAUUCUAAUAAAAAAAAACUUUUUUUCAUUUUUUCUUUUCCCUUUUAAUAACUCAAGAAGCCUAACAUUUCUAAGCUAACACUAACGUGCACAACUAAUCAAACGUUUUUCGUUAAGUACAAUAGACGUCAAGGGUGCAAAAAUCUUCCCCUUGCGUAAUUGACUCUCGAACCCUAAUUAGGUUGCGCCGGUCAAUAUCAUAUGUCAGUGACGACUCUAUUAAAUCUAUCCCGCGAGCAUGUGAUUCGCUUGACGAGGUCGUGUUCUUAUUUUUCGAGGUACGUCGAUCUGCAUAUAAAGUGUGGGGUGAAACUUGAACACUUCUAGUCCUUUUCAUAGGCAGUACCUUAGAUUCCUCAACCAGAUUUGGCGGGGCCUUACUAAAAACAUCCUUAGCCAAGCAAAAGACGAUUUGAGAUAAGGGAUCACCUUGUCUCACUCAUCUUUGUCAUUGAAAAAAGCCAUGCAUUUUUCCAUCGAUUGAAACAGAAAGAUAAGUAGAUUGGAGAAUUUUGUGAAUUCAAAGACAAAAUUUAUAGCAAAAACCAAAUAUCUUAAGACCCUAAAGAAGAAACUUCCAACUUAAGGUAUAUAAAGCCUUGCAUGUGUGUAUUUUAAGAGAAAUAUCUCCACCAUAACACUUCCUACUGAGAGUAUUGACUGCCUAGUGAGACAUAUACCAUCCCUUACGUUUCUGCCCUUAUGAAGCCUUUUUGCUCAAGAGAGAUGAUAUGUGGCAUGACUGAUGCCAAUUGUCAACAAUGAUUUGGGUGAUGAUUUUGGUCUUAUAGUCUCCUAGAGUAACAGGUCUAAAACGGAUAAUGGAGCUAGCACUAUGUGUUUUAGGAAUCAAAAGUAUAUAAUUUAAAUUAUAGUAAGACAUAAUCCAAUCUUGAAUAAAGAAUUGAGAUAUAAAUCUAAUGACAUCAUGCUUGAUGAUAUCCCAAAAGGUUUGACAAAAAAAUCCUUCAAAGCCAUUAGGGUCAGGAGCACUUUUCUUGUACAUUCUAAACAUGACACCCUUUAUUUCCUCAACAAUUUGAAUACUAGUAAAGAGAUGGUUGGUAUCCUCAUUAACCAAAAAGGGAAUGAUUUCCUCAAUCAUACCAUUAUUCACUAAUUCAUUAUUGUUAUUGUAAAGGUGUGUAAAGUAUCAAGUGACAUGCUCACUCUUGAAAUCUUCGUUAGUGAUAACCUCAUUGUUAUGAUGAAUGGCAGAAAAAGGUUUAGAGACAACUUUUAUCUUGGCAUAUACAGGUCUCCUUUAAAAGCCCAAUACACUCUAGAUUUCUCCUUCCAAAAUGCUUCUUCAAGACUGAAAGAAAAAAACACAUUAUUGUGCAAUAUUUUCCUACUCCAGCCUGAAGAACUUCAUCAUGACCAAUACUAGCAGACCUGAUCUAAAUUCUGUUAAGGUUUUAUUUUGCAGUUCUGACUUUUUCUUGAAUGUUACAAAAAGAGGACAUGUUCCACUCCUUUAAGUUAUUUUUUAGGGGCUUGAACUUCUAUCUAGAAUUAACAUGGGGAAGCCAACCACUAUGGUCUCCCAAGUCUUAGCAACAAUGUUUAUAAUCGAAAUUGAGCAUAAUGGGGAUAGUGGUCAGAACAAUUCUUGGUGAUACUGGAGCAAGACAAGACAAGACAAUCCAGGCUUGAUUUUCAAUAGCUCAAUCCAAACCAUUUUAAGGUUUUCUUUUACCCUCUCUACCAUGGGAGCAGGUGAGAUGAUGAUAUUUAAUGGAGAAAGUGUAUUAGCGGUUAAGGUUUGUCCAAUUAUAAAAGUCUUCCAUGCAGAUACUAGAAGGUCACAAAUGAGGCGAGGCACGGCACCAAGGCAUGUUUGAGUUUAAAAGGUUACAAAUUAUUCCAAAGAUCCCUUCUUUAAAUAUAAUCGGUUGAGGCAUAUAUUAUUACGAUCCAAAAUCUUCUGUUGUUAUCCAUCAUCACACAAGAAUUAAAUUGAGACACAUAGGCGCGGCCCACCAUAAACAUGAUAUCAUUCCUAAUUAAUUAUUAUUUUACUAAAAUAAUUUUUAAUUUAAUAUUUGAAUUUUAAAUUUUUCCAAAAAUUAAUUAUACUAAAUUAUUUAAUUCUCUAAUGCCUAAUUAAUUCUUAAAUAAAUAAUUCUAAAAAAUUGAUACAUUAAAAUAUAUUAUAAAAUUAAAGUAACAAAAUUAUUAUAAUAAUUAGUCUAAUUUUUGAUUAAAUUUUAAAAUCAACUAAAAUCAUUUAAUCAUAAUAAAGUUAUAAAAAAAACACAAUUUGAAUUGAGGACCAACUUUUUACUUAAUAAAGACGAAAAAAAAGGUAAAAAUAAGUGAUAUUUACAUUUGUUACAUGCUGAUAAAAAAAAUCACACAAAUCAUAAAAGACGAUAUCAAAAUAAUUUGAUAAAGAGAAAUUAAAAAUGGAAAUAUUAAAAGCCAUCAUCAAAAAUACAUUCAUUCUUAAUUAUUUAUUCAUUAAAGCCAAAUUUUAAAUAUUAAAAGCCAUCAAAAAUUGAAAUCUAAAUUAUAGAUAAAUUAAAAUUAAUAUAAACAAAUUUAUUUUAAAAAAGUGGUAAUAUUUAAUAUUUAAUUGUUGAGCAAAUGUUAAAUAUGAUCAAGAGGUCUCAGGUCAUUUAAUUGUAAAUACAUCAUAAUCUAGAUAAUCAGCCAAUGUAGGCAAAUGAAAGACAUCACUGACCUCACAUAAAUCAAAGUUGAAUUAACUAAAUAAUUCCUAGAAAAAAAUAAUUGAAUUUUGAUGAACAUAAAGUAUGAGAUUUAUUUUAGGGAAAAAAAUUCACUCAGUGGUGGCUAGAUAAAUUAAGGUUCGAUUCUGCCUGCAAAUAUCCUCAACAUGAAAUCAGAAGAGGGAGCUUUGUAUCCUCAUCGUGAAAUUUUUUUUCCCAAAAAAUCAAAAACAGAGAAAAUAAAAAAUGAAAAAGAUCACUCAGUUCAGCGGGGUUUUCGACACGCAAAGCAAACUCAUAGAGAAAGCACUGCAUUCCGGUCUGUUGAGCUUGAAUUUCAUGGAGUCAUCACUGUGAUCUCUAUUAUUUCAUAAUAACAUUCAAAAUUCAACAAGAAAAAUCGAAUCCAAGGCAAGAAAAACAUACAAAAAUCAAAUGCAUAAAUCAUUAAAAGGAAACACAGACAGAAUAAAUUGAAAGAGCGAUUAGAAAUUGAAGAGUGGAGGCGUAUUCACCAUUCGCGAUUGAGAAAUUCUGUUCGCAGCUUCUGAAUUUAUAAGAGAGAACUAGGGUUUCUGAGGGAGCGAUAAUAGAAUCCGAGUACGC
RNAcentral lists this long non-coding RNA (34695 nucleotides) under Lathyrus oleraceus (garden pea). RNAcentral's name for it is "Pisum sativum (pea) long non-coding RNA (PSAT_LNC008515)". The record is from RNAcentral. Lineage: Eukaryota; Viridiplantae; Streptophyta; Magnoliopsida; Fabales; Fabaceae.